RNAcentral lists this ribosomal RNA (306 nucleotides) under uncultured bacterium. RNAcentral describes it as "bacterial SSU rRNA". It matches the Rfam family "Bacterial small subunit ribosomal RNA", at positions 27 to 361 of the family's 1533-position model. The record is from RNAcentral.
GAACGAACGCUGGCGGCAGGCCUAACACAUGCAAGUCGAACGCUCCGCAAGGGGGAGUGGCGCACGGGGUGAGUAACACGUGGGAACCUACCUUCUGGUACGGAACAACCAAGGGAAACUUUGGCUAAGACCGUAUACGACCUCCGGGUGAAAGAUUGAUCGCCGGAAGAGGGGCCCGCGUCCGAUUAGGUAGUUGGUGAGGUAACGGCUCACCAAGCCUUCGAUCGGUAGCUGGUCUGAGAGGAUGACCAGCCACACUGGGACUGAGACACGGCCCAGACUCCUACGGGAGGCAGCAGUGGGGAA